RNAcentral lists this long non-coding RNA (516 nucleotides) under Vulpes vulpes (red fox). Its description in RNAcentral is "lncRNA (ENSVVUG00000019965.1)". The record is from RNAcentral. Lineage: Eukaryota; Metazoa; Chordata; Mammalia; Carnivora; Canidae.
CAGGAUUCGUGUCUCCUAAUCACUCAGGGAUCCAGAUUGAGUGGAGUUGCUAUGAUGCUACUCUUUCAAGAUUCCCUCCAUGUACUAAGUUAGAGGAACAGAACAUAGAGAAUAAUGCAGCAGCUCUUGAGUCCGUUUGUAUGGAAGUGAUAGACACACAUUCAUCUGCUCAUAUCUUUGUAGCACGGCCAUCCUUUUCACUAGUAGGUAGGGAAAUGUGACCUUCCAUGUACAUGGAACAGCAAAAACACUCAAUACUGAUGACUCUGGGUGUUGUCCACUGCCACAGGAAGAACAGGAGAAGCAGAAAGAUGGAAUGAUGACCCCAGUGACAGCUGAUCCUUUCUCUAGGUGUCCAGCAGAGGUGUGUUUCUUCUUGCUGAGCAGUUCCAUGGCAGCCUGCCAACAGCAAUACUCAGAAUUGGAAGCACUUGGGGACAGCCAUCUCCUGUUAUGGUCAUCAAGGACUUUUAUUGGAUUCCUUUAUUAUCUCCCUGCAAAUGUUGGCUUCUUCCC